This 378-nucleotide ribosomal RNA is filed under the name uncultured organism. RNAcentral's name for it is "partial 16S ribosomal RNA". It matches the Rfam family "Bacterial small subunit ribosomal RNA", at positions 527 to 896 of the family's 1533-position model. The record is from RNAcentral.
GUAGGGUGCGAGCGUUAUCCGGGAAUCAUUGGGGCGUAAAGAGCUCGUAGGCGGUUCAGCAAGUCGGCUGUGAAAUUCCGAGGGCUCAACCUCGGAACUGCAGUCGAUACUGCUGUGACUCGAGUCCGGUAGAGGAGAAUGGAAUUCCCGGUGUAGCGGUGAAAUGCGCAGAUAUCGGGAGGAACACCAGUAGCGAAGGCGGUUCUCUGGGCCGGCACUGACGCUGAGGAGCGAAAGCGUGGGUAGCAAACAGGAUUAGAUACCCUGGUAGUCCACGCCGUAAACGUUGGAUACUAGGUGUGGCGUUCCGACCAACGGUCGCCGUGCCGAAGCUAACGCAUUAAGUAUCCCGCCUGGGGAGUACGGCCGCAAAGGCUA